UAUCUUUAUUUGUUAUCUUUUCUACCUGCCGACCGACUUAUUGCUGAGAUGCUCUAAUUUAUGAUAAUACUAAAAUGGAUGCAGAUAAAUACAGUUGGCCCAGUCAGGUAAUCUAUUGCUGUUUGUUCACACUGUCAUAUUAUUGUGAAGUCAUUGUAGCAGUCAAUUUGAUGCAUUGACCACAAAAACAUUUGACAGGAGAGAACGCUGUUUUUUUUCACACUCUGUAGAAAAACGCCCUCCAGUGGACAAAGACAACAUCAGAGUCGGAGACACCAACAGAGCUAGCCAGCAGCACGGCCGGCCCCGCUUCCAGCAGCAGCACCUCUGCAGCGGGCACAGGGGUGGCCCCGGUCGGAACCACUGAGGCCACUGAGCAGGAAAGCUGCGACUCCACUGAGACCACCGCUGCCAGCGGGGACAAUGACGCCUCGGUGGAUGAGAGCUCGUCCAGUGCCUCCUGCUCCACAGAACUGCCGGCUCCCAGCAACCAGCCCCAGACCCGCCUCAGCAGGGCGGCAGGACAGCAAGGACGCACAGAAGCACAGCAGACCCAACAUGCUCAACACACCCAGACCAGACUGAGCCGCUCAAGACAGGUCAGCACCCUGUGGAAGCCACUGGCUGCUCCAUGUUUACAAUGUGUUCAACAAUAAAGGAUUCGAGAGCACCUCCACCGUGUCAUUCGGUGCACUGUUUAAGUCAUCAGGCAUGUCAUACCAUGUGUUUUGACUAUCUGUAGAGGGACAGGACAACAGUGCUGCUUGAUAUACUGACUUCAGAACGGUCUGCUGUGUCAACCUUCCCUCCCACUUUUUGUUUUGCUCCAGUCAGGGAGACAGAGGAAGAAAGCAGUCAUGAUGCCUCGUGUUGUCCUCACCCCUCUUAAAGUAAAUGGAGAGCAUGUCCCCUCAGGUAAGAACAACAACAUUACCAACACCCCAGUCAUGAAGGCAAGAAUUCAGAAUGCUGAUCGGCCUGACAGCUCAGACCUGCACAUCUAACUGAAAUAUAAAGAGUCUGUCUGUCCUUCCAAGUUUCUCGACAACCCUUCAUCCGAUCGACUUCUCACACGGCUAGUGUAUUGCUGAAGACCCAAGGAAGUGCCGUGUCUAGUCUGAAGUUGUUUUGGAUAAACGGUUCUCGAGAAAGCGGCAAGAAUCAAUACCGGAGGCCGAGCAGUUGACCAAACAGGCACUGCACUAGUUAUCCUACUUAAUAAACACAACCUGCCGGAAGAAUACAUAAUAGAUGAAAAGCAUACUUUUAAAACGACACAAAGGGUUUUAUUGAAUCCAUUCACCAACUAUCUGAAGGCAAGAUAUCCUGUAAAAAUGCUGCAGAUGGGCCAGGAAAAAGGUAUUUGGUGCUCAGCUGCAUGGACCUGCAGAUGGCUUUGGACUAGUUGAACGUGU
RNAcentral lists this long non-coding RNA (1415 nucleotides) under Cottoperca gobio. RNAcentral's name for it is "lncRNA (ENSCGOG00000003177.1)". Lineage: Eukaryota; Metazoa; Chordata; Actinopteri; Perciformes; Bovichtidae. The record is from RNAcentral.